RNAcentral lists this ribosomal RNA (467 nucleotides) under uncultured archaeon. Its description in RNAcentral is "bacterial SSU rRNA". It matches the Rfam family "Archaeal small subunit ribosomal RNA", at positions 90 to 562 of the family's 1478-position model. The record is from RNAcentral.
UCAGUAACACGUGGACAACCUACCCUCAGGAGGGGGAUAACCCCGGGAAACUGGGGAUAAUACCCCAUAGACCAGGGAUGCUGGAAUGCCUCCUGGUUCAAAGGUCCGCCGCCUGAGGAUGGGUCUGCGGCCGAUUAGGUUGUUGUUGGGGUAACGGCCCAACAAGCCUUUGAUCGGUACGGGUUGUGAGAGCAAGAGCCCGGAGAUGGAUUCUGAGACACGAAUCCAGGCCCUACGGGGCGCAGCAGGCGCGAAAACUUUACAAUGCGAGAAAUCGUGAUAAGGGAACCCCGAGUGCCCGUAAAUUCGGGCUGUCCGCCAGUGCAAAUAGCUGGUGAAGAAAGGGCCGGGCAAGACCGGUGCCAGCCGCCGCGGUAAUACCGGCGGCUCGAGUGGUGGCCACUAUUACUGGGCUUAAAGCGUCCGUAGCUUGAUUGUUAAGUCUCUUGGGAAAUCCACCGGCUCAA